AUUUAACCAAAUGCUUAAGGCGACCUAUUUCACAAGGGAUAGGACCAACCAAGUAAUUGUUUGACAAGUUGAGGCUCACGAGAUUACCCAUCUCCCCUAUUUGCCUUGGUAUUUCACCAGAGACUUGGUUUUCAUGGAGCAUGAGGAGACGCAGUUUUGUUAGAUUUGCUAAAACAGGUGGAAUUGAACCUCUUAUCUGAUUGUCAUGCAGGAGGAGAGCAUGGAGUUCUUUGAGGAGCUUAAUAUUCGCAGGUAUGCUCCCGGUAAGCUCGUUGUGCGAGAGCUCAAGGGCCACCAAGGUCCUCAACGCCGAGAAGUCAAGAGACUCAAGUGUCCCUCUCAGCCGCAUCCCCGGCAGGGAGAUGGCGGUGAUCAUCGGCCGGCACCCACCGCACCGGAUGCCCCGCCAACGGCAAGGUGCUGACAUGUUGCCCCAGGAUUGCAGGGCGUCUUGGCUUUGCGGACUGAGGCUGGCUUUCCAGGCAAGAAGUGCCCCUGUUUGUUGUUCAACUGAUGGCAGCGCACCAGCGGCUGACACGAGUGCGGUGGUGCACAUCGUCAGUAUGGUGAGAGAAGCAAGUAUUUUGGAAGAUAAGAGCUCCAUGGCUAGGAUAGGAAUCGGUUCUGCUUCUGUGUCUCUUGGAGGGUUCACCUUAAAUUGUUGCACCAAUUAUUGCCGCUGUCUCGUUCCCUGCAGGCAAGAUAGUCUAAAGGUUUGUAUGACUGAUUAACCACCCCCUCCCUUUCUGUCCCUCUCGUUCUUUAGUUAAUCUUCAUGAUGAAGAUUUGACCCGCUCUCUGAUACAUUUGUUUCUCUAUUUUUUUUAAGAGGUCAUGGCACCUGUUCAUUCAAAGUCAAAUGUACAGAACCCAAACAUGUACGCACCCAGCAGUAAAAACCAGGAAGACAGGUGCCACAGCACAAACUGCAUAAAGAGCCUCAACAGUAGAAAUAUAUAUAUAAACACGCCCCUAGAAGACCUGGUGCAAAGAAGACCAGUGCGGCCGGAGAAGAGAGGGGCAGCGGUGGAUGGAUAUGUGGUUACUGGCCACGUCGCUCCAUUAAUUGGUGGGUGAUAAAUCAAAACACGAGAUACGGCUGCUGCUUCAAACCCGGCCGUGCCAUGGGCAGGAAGACUUUCGUGCUUGUGCUAGCGGUUGAUUAUGGAACAAGCUUCAUAUUGGGACUCCCUAGUCUCCAAAUACGGAGGCUACGAAGUCAUUAUGGAAAGAGCUUUAUAAAUUAUACCGUCAGCACCUAUAUUGGCGACUUUGCUAGAGUUUCAUUUUGGCCUAAAAUCAUCAUAUUGACAAUUAUUAUGGCGAUCGGGACAUAUGGCAACUUUGGUAGAGUUGCUCUUAGCGAAAUAACUUGGAUGAGAAGCAUCUGAGUUGUCCUCUUUGAGGACACAAAUUAUGAUUCAUAUUUAGACCAUCCUAUCUGAAAUAGCAUUUACUCAUAUCUAUUACAAAUUUCCUGUUCAUUUGAUUUUGAUUGGCAAAGGAAUUGAAUGUUCACCAAUAAUUGUCACUCAUGUGAAUGAUCAUUUCCUUGUAUAUAUAUGCCACCCCAUGGGAUACUAUAUAUCGUUCUAUUCAUUUUAACAUUCUGGUAGCACUAGCCUAGUACACUAGAUAUGUGGUGAUGAAAUUAUCAAAUUGAGCGGAGAAUGAGAGAAGAAUUAGAAGGUGUUACAACAUGCAUGUGGGAACGAGAGACAUCCGGAAUAGCCACACGAGUAAUAACUUUAGGUGGGUCAGAGGCCAUGGGCGAUGCUUGACCAUUAAGCUAAAUAGUAUGUUUUUAUUUCAACAUUGAACCACCAUUAGAGCGCUCCUUUGGAGCUUUAGGGCGUGUUCGGAGACCCUCCCGCUCCUGACUCCGCUCCCGGAGCAGUCGGAGCGGUAGUCUAAACUUAUGGAGCGGGGAAACAGAGACUCCGCAGAUCCAUGGAUCUGGCGGAGCUGGAGGUUUUCCGAACAGCUCCUUAGUCGCACUGUAGCCCCCUCUUAUCCCUAGCACCGACGCUCUGCUUCAUCAACUGCGAGCCCAUGCGCUUCCCUUGACGUGAGUGCAUACUGGUGGUCAUGGAGGCUAGCUGGCGCGCCGACAUCUUCUUCACAAGGGCAACCCACACUGCUACGUUUCAUUGCUUGUCGUAGCCACACAUAUGUUGAGCUUGUGACAAUUCUGUUGUGUGCCUUCAAACACCACUCUUUUGUGAGAUUUCGUAAAACAGGUGCAAUUGAACCUCUUAUCUAAUUGUGAUGUAGGAGGAGAGCAUGGAGUUCCUUGAGAAGCUUAAUAUUUACGGGAAUGUUCCUAGUAAGCUCGUUGUGCGAGAGCUCCAUGGCCACUGAGGUCCACAAAGGGGGACUAAAUUGCCAAAAACGAUCACAAUUACGUGUGCUAGUGCCAAAAACCACCGUUUUCGUGAAAAUUUGCCGAAAACAUCAAUUUUGAGUAAUUAUUUGCUGAAAACACUAAAAACUAUGCUUGAUCCCGUUUUGACGUAAAAGCUGGCAGUGGGACCCGCCCAUCAGGGCCACCCGGCAUGGGAUAACGGUUCGGGGAGACGACAAUCGUUGCUGCCAUAUGGGGUCCAUCUGUCAUACAAAGGAAAAAAAAUAAAAAUAAAAACAUGAAUAUAAAGAAAAAUAUAGCUCUUUUUUCUCACCCAGGAGCCAACAACCAAUCUUAUAUACGUAAAACAAAAGAUCAGGUCGGGAGGCCAGCAGUGCCUGGAUCCCCGCAGCGGACCGCGCGCGGGGUGGCCAACAACGACAUUGGUCGGAGACCCGUCAGCCAGCAAGCGUCGCCGCUCGGACAAGCUGCUUCCCCGUGCCUCCUUCCUUCUCCUCCUAUCCUCUUCCCCCGGCGCCUAGCUGCCAUGGUGCGCCGCCAUUCACGACAUGCCACCGUGCAUCAACUCCGAGGCCUCCUUGAUGCAGAGGCAUUCAUGGAGGGGUUCGCCGGAGCGGGAUGUGGAGCGGAUGAGGUUGCAGGAGGGGCUCAUGGCGCCCGUGUCCACGAUGACGGCGACGAGCUCCGGCAGUUGGAGGCAUGCACGCACCUGCCGGUGAGGCUCCUCAUCAUGUUGGCAUCGUCGAUGGGGCGCACUCUACCGACGUGGUCGUUGGGAGGACGGGGCAUCCUGGAGCAUGAGUGGAAGCUCGCGACCAUGGCAUGGCCAUCACCUCCUACAACAGUGGGGCUCGCCGGAGUGGGAUCCUGCUGAUCGGCACAACUUAUGGGCCUUGCUUCAUAAACUUACUAGAGUACUACUUUAUUAGCCGAUUACCACCGCAAGCUGCGGAAUCAAGGGGUGUGACUUGUGGACCGAAUACCUUCCCAGUGUCCCCAAAUGCGAGGAGAAAGGAACUGAAAUUUUCGUCUCGCACUAGUGGUUGAGUAUGGAGUGAGGCCCAUACUAGGGUUCCCCAGCCUCCAAAUGGAGGGCUACGUGGUUGUUUAUGAAGCAAGGUCCAUAAGUUAUGCCGAUCGACACCCAUAUGACGGCUUUGCUAGAGUGACAUUUUGAUAAAAAAUGACCGUAUUUGGCAGUUAUUAUGGCAGUCGCGACUACUAGAGUUUUUGUUAGCCCAUACAAGAGAUGUGCGUAGCUCACUUGGAUUAGAGCAUCUGAGUUGAACUCUCCGAGGACACAAAAUAGGAUUCAUAUUUAUAAUGUCCUCUUUGAAAUAUCAUUUACUAGUCUAUCCAUUACAAGUUUUUAGUUCACGUGCAUUCGACUGGCAAAAUAAUUGAAUGUUCACCAACUGUCGUUCAUGUGAAUGAUGCUUUCCUUGUAUAUAUAUAUGUCACUCCAUGGACCAUUGUUUUUCUAUUCAAGUUAGCAUGUCGGCAGUACUAAACUAGUACACUAAUACGUGGGAUGCCAUGAUCAACUUGAGCAGAAAAUGAGAGGAGAAUUACAUUACAUAGAUGUUACAACAUGUACGUGGGAACGAGAGACAUCUGGAAUAGCUAGGAGAGAGAUAUCUUUAGGUUGGUCAGACACCAAAGGAGAUGCUUCACCAUUAAGCUCAAUAGUAUGGUUCGCUUUCAACAUUGCACCUCCAUCACAACAUGCUUUUCGAGCUAUAGUCGCCCUGUAGCUCCCUCUUGUCCCCUGACAUCGACAGUCUGCUUCAUCAACCGCAAGCCCAUGUGCUUCUCCUUGACAAGUGUGCGUACUGACGGUCAUGGCGGCUUGAUGGUUUGCAGACAUCUUCUUCAGAAGGACAGCGCGCACUGCUAUGUCCCAUUGCUUGUCAUAACGCCAAGUAUGUUGAGUUUGUGAUGAUUCUCUAUGUGCCAUACAAAACCACUCUUUUGUGAGAUUUGCUAAAACAAGUGGUAUUGAACCUCAUGCAGCAGGAGAGCAUGGAGUUCUUUGAGGAGCUUAAUAUUCGUGGGAAUGUUCCCAGUAAGCUCGUCGUGCGAGAGCUCAAGGGCCACCAAGGUCCUGAGAGGGAAGAAGGCAAAGGACUCCAGUGUCACUCUCAGCUGCAUCCCCGGGAGGGAGAUGGCAGUGAUCGCUGACAGGCGGCCACCCCACCGGAAGCCCUGCCAACGGCAAGGUAAAAUACAUGUUUCCCAAGGAACGCAGCGCUGCAGCAGCUGAGAUGAGUAUGAUCUGGGAUGGUAGACAUCAUCAGUAUGGUGAGAGAGGCAAGUAUUUUGGAAGACAAGGCUUCCAUGGCUAGGAUAGGAAUUGGUUCCGCACCAGUAUUUCCGCUAUCUCUUUCCGUGUAGGCAUGAGAGUCAAAACAUUUAUACGACUGAUUGGUUACCCCUCCCUUUCUAUCUCUCUCGUUCCUUAAUUAAUCUUCCUGAUGAAGAUAUGACCCGCUCUCUGAAGCAUUUUUCCUCGUAGUAGCUGAAUGUGUACUCUCUGGGACAGAUUAUGACACAUGUUCAUUCAAAGCCAAAGUUACAGAAUCCAAAUAAGUACGCACCCAGAAAAAGAAACCAGAAAGAAGGUAACACAACACAAACUACAGAAAGGAUCUCAACAAAAGAAAGAGAAUUACAAACACAUCCCUGGAGGAUCUUGUGCAAAGUGGACCAGCCGUCGGAGAAGAAAGGUAUGAGAUACUGCCGCACCUAGGUUCAGAGGAACACGAUUAGACAUGAGCAUUGCUACUUUCUGAGCCAAUUAAACGGUUCAUCACAAGCGGGAGAACCGAGCGGUGUUGUUCGUUGGCCCGGGACCUUCCCCACAAAGACCACCGUCUUCCAGUGGCGAAGCUACAUGUAGACAUCGCUACUUUUUGAGCCUAUAAAACGGUCCACCGCAAGCGGCAGAACCGAGGGGGUGUGAAUCGCCGGCCAGGGACUUUUGCAGCGUCCGUCGAACCGCCAUCUACAUGUAGUUUGUGAUGUCUUUGAGCUGUUGUAAACAUAUGUUCUCUUUGAAAUGUCAUUUACUACUAGC
RNAcentral lists this long non-coding RNA (5441 nucleotides) under Hordeum vulgare. RNAcentral's name for it is "long non-coding RNA (HVUL_LNC013983)". The record is from RNAcentral. Lineage: Eukaryota; Viridiplantae; Streptophyta; Magnoliopsida; Poales; Poaceae.